RNAcentral lists this ribosomal RNA (454 nucleotides) under uncultured bacterium. RNAcentral describes it as "partial 16S ribosomal RNA". It matches the Rfam family "Bacterial small subunit ribosomal RNA", at positions 341 to 792 of the family's 1533-position model. The record is from RNAcentral.
ACGGAAGGCAGCAGUAAGGGAUAUUGGUCAAUGGGGGUUACCCUGAACCAGCCAUGCCGUGUGAGGGAAGAAGGCCCUACGGGUCGCAGACCUCUUUUGCCGGGGGAUAACGCGCUCCACUUGUGGGGCGGUGAAGGUACCCGGAGAAUAAGCAUCGGCUAACUCCGUGCCAGCAGCCGCGGUAAUACGGAGGAUGCGAGCGUUAUCCGGGUUUAUUGGGUUUAAAGGGUGCGCAGGCGGGGUCCUAAGUCAGCGGUGAAAGGCGACGGCGCAACCGGAGCAGUGCCGUUGAUACUGGGGUCCUUGAAUGCGGUCGAGGCCGGCGGAAUGUGGCGUGUAGCGGUGAAAUGCAUAGAUAUGCCACAGAACUCCGAGAGCGAAGGCAGCUGGCCGGGCCUGCAUUGACGCUGAGGCACGAAAGCGUGGGGAUCGAACAGGAUUAGAUACCCUGGUA